AUUGAACGCUGGCGGCAUGCCUUACACAUGCAAGUCGAACGGCAGCACGGGAGCAAUCCUGGUGGCGAGUGGCGAACGGGUGAGUAAAGUAUCGGAACGUGCCCAGUCGUGGGGGAUAACGUAGCGAAAGUUACGCUAAUACCGCAUACGAUCUAUGGAUGAAAGCGGGGGAUCGCAAGACCUCGCGCGAUUGGAGCGGCCGAUAUCAGAUUAGGUAGUCGGUGGGGUAAAGGCUCACCAAGCCGACGAUCUGUAGCUGGUCUGAGAGGACGACCAGCCACACUGGGACUGAGACACGGCCCAGACUCCUACGGGAGGCAGCAGUGGGGGAUUUUGGACAAUGGGCGAAAGCCUGAUCCAGCCAUGCCGCGUGCAGGAUGAAGGCCCUCGGGUUGUAAACUGCUUUUGUACGGAACGAAAAGGUUUGGCCUAAUAAGCUGAGCUCAUGACGGUACCGUAAGAAUAAGCACCGGCUAACUACGUGCCAGCCGCCGCGGUAA
This 500-nucleotide ribosomal RNA is filed under the name uncultured bacterium. Its description in RNAcentral is "partial 16S ribosomal RNA". It matches the Rfam family "Bacterial small subunit ribosomal RNA", at positions 30 to 523 of the family's 1533-position model. The record is from RNAcentral.